CGGUACGUACUGGCAUUGUUGGUUUCUCCCUUCUGACGAACCAUGAUGUCAUUUAUUUGGUGUUGUGGGGAAUCAGGACUGUUACUUUGAAAAAAUUAGAGUGUUUAAAGCAGGCUCACGCUUGAAUACAUUAGCAUGGAAUAAUGAAAUAGGACGUUUGAUUCUAUUUUGUUGGUUUCUAGGAUCGGCGUAAUGAUUAAUAGGGAUAGUUGGGGGCAUUAGUAUUCAAUUGUCAGAGGUGAAAUUCUUGGAUUUAUUGAAGACUAACUACUGCGAAAGCAUUUGCCAAGGAUGUUUUCAUUAAUCAAGAACGAAAGUUAGGGGAUCGAAGACGAUCAGAUACCGUCGUAGUCUUAACCAUAAACUAUGCCGACUAGGGAUCGGAUGAUGUUAAUUUUUUAAUGACUCAUUCGGCGCCUUACG
Molecule: ribosomal RNA, 423 nt
Filed under: uncultured Glomeromycotina
Lineage: Eukaryota; Fungi; Glomeromycota
Description: SSU rRNA
Rfam family: Eukaryotic small subunit ribosomal RNA
Source: RNAcentral